GGAAGGUUUGGCACAGCAACCAACUCACCAGCUCUCCCUGCUGAGGUGACCUCUGAGAGCAGAGCAGGGAGGUCUGAGGAUGGGAGGAGGUCUGGAUGUGCUUGGGGCACAGCAAGGCAGCACCCACUCAGACAUGGCUGGGCACCUUCAGCUGCUCAGAUUACCCACCCUCACCCCAGGGACUCACCUGCACUGCCCAACUCCACCAAUGCCAGGGUUUGGUUUGUGAAGGGCUGAAGGAAUCUGGGAAACAGGGAGGACGUAAGAACUAUUAAGAGCUGUAGAAUGCUGAAUACCAAAAUCCCUACCCCUCCUGUAGUAAAUUUUAAAAUUAUAUGACUCCCUAAGGUUCCACUGGAAGCAAAGCAUAAAGGAGAGAAGGAGGAACAACCAGCUGCCAGUGGUGGAAUGUAAGUGAAGAGGAUACUGUGACAUGAAGAUAUGAAGAUACAUGAAAUUACUUAGAUCAGCAGAAAUAAUUUAUUUUUCAUAUGAUGUUCCAUUGUUCUAUAUUUAAUCCAGGCAAGCUUUUUAAACACUGAAUUCAAAGUAUCUCCAGCAUGUUCAUUUCUGACAAAUUAAAAAAUAUAAAGACAA
Molecule: long non-coding RNA, 597 nt
Organism: Passer domesticus (house sparrow)
Lineage: Eukaryota; Metazoa; Chordata; Aves; Passeriformes; Passeridae
Exons: 3
Source: RefSeq, a predicted model, not a curated record